AUUUAUAGAUGGUCAGAGGAGUGCAGCUUAAAUUCCGAAUAGACCUAAGACUUUCAAGAAACGCAAGUGUUUCAAGCAGCUGAAGUAAAAGCUGAUGUAUCGUAUUGGCAACACUCAAUAUGUUUUUCGAUGAACUUAGCACCUUACAAAAACUGACAAAAGUCAACUAUUCAUUUCACAACACAGGGAGCACCGAACUAUUUUAACCUACCAUCUUGAAUAAAUCAAUGUCGUAAAUUUAUGUACAGUCAUUGUGCCAGUGUGCUAAAAAGUAAUGAAACUAUUUUUGUAUGCAUGAUUAAAUAUUUUUUUGAGUUUGUUAAGCUAAUAAAUAUUUCGAAAAUUAUAAAAGAAAAGGAAUAUA
This 364-nucleotide long non-coding RNA is filed under the name Anneissia japonica. RNAcentral's name for it is "uncharacterized LOC117119640, transcript variant X2". Lineage: Eukaryota; Metazoa; Echinodermata; Crinoidea; Comatulida; Comatulidae. The record is from RNAcentral.